AGAGUUUGAUCCUGGCUCAGAACGAACGCUGGCGGCAGGCUUAACACAUGCAAGUCGAACGCACCUUCGGGUGAGUGGCAGACGGGUGAGUAACGCGUGGGAACGUGCCCUUCAGUUCGGAAUAACCCAGGGAAACUUGGGCUAAUACCGGAUACGUGCGAGAGCAGAAAGAUUUAUCGCUGAAGGAUCGGCCCGCGUCUGAUUAGCUAGUUGGUGGGGUAAUGGCCCACCAAGGCGACGAUCAGUAGCUGGUCUGAGAGGAUGAUCAGCCACAUUGGGACUGAGACACGGCCCAAACUCCUACGGGAGGCAGCAGUGGGGAAUAUUGGACAAUGGGCGCAAGCCUGAUCCAGCCAUGCCGCGUGAGUGAUGAAGGCCUUAGGGUUGUAAAGCUCUUUCGGCGGGGACGAUAAUGACGGUACCCGCAGAAGAAGCCCCGGCUACUUCGUGCCAGCAGCCGCGGUAAUACGAAGGGGGCUAGCGUUGUUCGGAAUCACUGGGCGUAAAGGGCGCGUAGGCGGCUUGAUAAGUCGGGGGUGAANNCCUGUGGCUCAACCACAGAAUUGCCUUCGAUACUGUCUGGCUUGAGACCGGAAGAGGUAAGUGGAACUGCGAGUGUAGAGGUGAAAUUCGUAGAUAUUCGCAAGAACACCAGUGGCGAAGGCGGCUUACUGGUCCGGUUCGNNNNUGAGCGCGAAAGCGUGGGGAGCAAACAGGAUUAGAUACCCUAGUAGUCC
This 737-nucleotide ribosomal RNA is filed under the name uncultured bacterium. RNAcentral describes it as "bacterial SSU rRNA". It matches the Rfam family "Bacterial small subunit ribosomal RNA", at positions 8 to 796 of the family's 1533-position model. The record is from RNAcentral.